UACGUAGGGUGCGAGCGUUAAUCGGAAUUACUGGGCGUAAAGGGCUCGUAGGCGGCCAACUAAGUCAGACGUGAAAUCCCUCGGCUUAACCGGGGAACUGCGUCUGAUACUGGAUGGCUUGAGAUUGGGAGAGGGAUGCGGAAUUCCAGGUGUAGCGGUGAAAUGCGUAGAUAUCUGGAGGAACACCGGUGGCGAAGGCGGCAUCCUGGACCAACACUGACGCUGAGGGAGCGAAGGCCAGGGGAGCAAACGGG
RNAcentral lists this ribosomal RNA (254 nucleotides) under uncultured bacterium. RNAcentral's name for it is "partial 16S ribosomal RNA". It matches the Rfam family "Bacterial small subunit ribosomal RNA", at positions 524 to 776 of the family's 1533-position model. The record is from RNAcentral.